Moraxella macacae 0408225 is the source of this 74-nucleotide transfer RNA. It matches the Rfam family "tRNA". Rfam says of the family: Transfer RNA (tRNA) molecules are approximately 80 nucleotides in length. Their secondary structure includes four short double-helical elements and three loops (D, anti-codon, and T loops). NCBI's taxonomy places the organism in Bacteria, Pseudomonadati, Pseudomonadota, Gammaproteobacteria, Moraxellales, Moraxellaceae. The record is from Rfam.
AGGCGUAUAGCUCAGUUGGUUAGAGCACCACCUUGACAUGGUGGGGGUCGAUGGUUCGAAUCCGUUUACGCCUA